AGGGUUUGNUCCAUGGGCUCAGGACGAACGCUGGCGGCGUGCCUAAUACAUGCAAGUCGAGCGAACCAAUGGGAGCUUGCUCCCUGAGGUUAGCGGCGGACGGGUGAGUAACACGUGGGUAACCUGCCUGUAAGAUUGGGAUAACUCCGGGAAACCGGAGCUAAUACCGGAUAACAUUUUGAACCGCAUGGUGCAAAAUUGAAAGAUGGCUUUUAGCUAUCACUUACAGAUGGACCCGCGGCGCAUUAGCUAGUUGGUGAGGUAACGGCUCACCAAGGCGACGAUGCGUAGCCGACCUGAGAGGGUGAUCGGCCACACUGGGACUGAGACACGGCCCAGACUCCUACGGGAGGCAGCAGUAGGGAAUCUUCCGCAAUGGACGAAAGUCUGACGGAGCAACGCCGCGUGAACGAUGAAGGCCUUCGGGUCGUAAAGUUCUGUUGUUAGGGAAGAACAAGUACCAGAGUAACUGCUGGUACCUUGACGGUACCUAACCAGAAAGCCACGGCUAACUACGUGCCAGCAGCCGCGGUAACACGUAGGUGGCAAGCGUUGUCCGGAAUUAUUUGGGCGUAAAGCGCGCGCAGGCGGUUUCUUAAGUCUGAUGUGAAAGCCCACGGCUCAACCGUGGAGGGUCAUUGGAAACUGGGAAACUUGAGUGCAGAAGAGGAGAGUGGAAUUCCACGUGUAGCGGUGAAAUGCGUAGAGAUGU
Molecule: ribosomal RNA, 712 nt
Filed under: uncultured Bacillota bacterium
Lineage: Bacteria; Bacillati; Bacillota
Description: bacterial SSU rRNA
Rfam family: Bacterial small subunit ribosomal RNA
Source: RNAcentral